Molecule: transfer RNA, 75 nt
Filed under: Iodidimonas gelatinilytica
Lineage: Bacteria; Pseudomonadati; Pseudomonadota; Alphaproteobacteria; Iodidimonadales; Iodidimonadaceae
Also listed under: 1 other name
Rfam family: tRNA
About the family: Transfer RNA (tRNA) molecules are approximately 80 nucleotides in length. Their secondary structure includes four short double-helical elements and three loops (D, anti-codon, and T loops).
Source: Rfam by way of RNAcentral
GGGCCGGUAGCUCAGCCCGGUUAGAGCGCACGCCUGAUAAGCGUGAGGUCGGUGGUUCGAGUCCACCUCGGCCCA